This 468-nucleotide ribosomal RNA is filed under the name uncultured bacterium. RNAcentral describes it as "partial 16S ribosomal RNA". It matches the Rfam family "Bacterial small subunit ribosomal RNA", at positions 28 to 507 of the family's 1533-position model. The record is from RNAcentral.
GACGAACGCUGGCGGCGCGCUUAACACAUGCAAGUCGAACGGAAAGGCCCUGUUCUUGUGGGGUUCUCGAGUGGCGAACGGGUGAGUAACACGUGAGUAACCUGCCCUGGACUUAGGGAUAACGUCAUGAAACUGGGGCUAAUACCGGAUAGGACCUCCUGCUCCAUGGAGGUGGUUGGAAAGUUUCGGCGGUUCGGGAUGGACUCCCGGCUUCUCAGCUUGGUGGUGGGGUAGUGGCUUACCGACGCGUUGACGGGUAGCCGGCCUGAGAGGGUGGCCGGCCACGCUGGGACUGGAGGACGGCCCAGCCUCCUACGGGAGGCAGUGGUGGGGAAUAUUGCCCAAUGGGCCGAAGCCUGAUGCAGCAACGCCGCGUGCGGGAUGACGGCCUCCGGGUUGUAAACCGCUUUCGCCUGUGCCGAAGCCUGAGUGACGGUAAUGGGUAAAGAAGCACCGGCUAACUACGUG